UGCAAGUCGAGCGGAGAUGAGGUGCUUGCACCUUAUCUUAGCGGCGGACGGGUGAGUAAUGCUUAGGAAUCUGCCUAUUAGUGGGGGACAACAUUCCGAAAGGGAUGCUAAUACCGCAUACGUCCUACGGGAGAAAGCAGGGGAUCUUCGGACCUUGCGCUAAUAGAUGAGCCUAAGUCGGAUUAGCUAGUUGGUGGGGUAAAGGCCUACCAAGGCGACGAUCUGUAGCGGGUCUGAGAGGAUGAUCCGCCACACUGGGACUGAGACACGGCCCAGACUCCUACGGGAGGCAGCAGUGGGGAAUAUUGGACAAUGGGGGGAACCCUGAUCCAGCCAUGCCGCGUGUGUGAAGAAGGCCUUAUGGUUGUAAAGCACUUUAAGCGAGGAGGAGGCUACUGAGACUAAUACUCUUGGAUAGUGGACGUUACUCGCAGAAUAAGCACCGGCUAACUCUGUGCCAGCAGCCGCGGUAAUACAGAGGGUGCGAGCGUUAAUCGGAUUUACUGGGCGUAAAGCGUGCGUAGGCGGCUUUUUAAGUCGGAUGUGAAAUCCCCGAGCUUAACUUGGGAAUUGCAUUCGAUACUGGGAAGCUAGAGUAUGGGAGAGGAUGGUAGAAUUCCAGGUGUAGCGGUGAAAUGCGUAGAGAUCUGGAGGAAUACCGAUGGCGAAGGCAGCCAUCUGGCCUAAUACUGACGCUGAGGUACGAAAGCAUGGGGAGCAAACAGGAUUAGAUACCCUGGUAGUCCAUGCCGUAAACGAUGUCUACUAGCCGUUGGGGCCUUUGAGGCUUUAGUGGCGCAGCUAACGCGAUAAGUAGACCGCCUGGGGAGUACGGUCGCAAGACUAAAACUCAAAUGGAUUGACGGGGGCCCGCACAAGCGGUGGAGCAUGUGGUUUAAUUCGAUGCAACGCGAAGAACCUUACCUGGCCUUGACAUACUAGAAACUUUCCAGAGAUGGAUUGGUGCCUUCGGGAAUCUAGAUACAG
This 987-nucleotide ribosomal RNA is filed under the name uncultured Acinetobacter sp. RNAcentral describes it as "bacterial SSU rRNA". It matches the Rfam family "Bacterial small subunit ribosomal RNA", at positions 56 to 1037 of the family's 1533-position model. Lineage: Bacteria; Pseudomonadati; Pseudomonadota; Gammaproteobacteria; Moraxellales; Moraxellaceae. The record is from RNAcentral.